Long non-coding RNA from Pristis pectinata (smalltooth sawfish), 150 nucleotides. RefSeq lists it as uncharacterized. The record is from RefSeq and is a predicted model, not a curated record. The transcript has 3 exons. Lineage: Eukaryota; Metazoa; Chordata; Chondrichthyes; Rhinopristiformes; Pristidae.
GAAAUCCAAAUAGAACCAAGUAAAGAAAAGAAGGAAGCAUGGAGGUGCCUCAAAAACAACAGGGUAUGGGUUCAAGGUGAGAGGAAGGUGUUCUGAUGAAGAUCUGAGGGAUGUAAACCUCGUGGAGACACAGGAGACUGCAGACGCUGG